Molecule: ribosomal RNA, 450 nt
Filed under: uncultured bacterium
Lineage: Bacteria
Description: partial 16S ribosomal RNA
Rfam family: Bacterial small subunit ribosomal RNA
Source: RNAcentral
GUGGGGAAUUUUGGACAAUGGGCGCAAGCCUGAUCCAGCAAUGCCGCGUGCAGGAAGAAGGCCUUCGGGUUGUAAACUGCUUUUGUACGGAACGAAACGGUCCGGGUUAAUACCCUGGGCUAAUGACGGUACCGUAAGAAUAAGCACCGGCUAACUACGUGCCAGCAGCCGCGGUAAUACGUAGGGUGCAAGCGUUAAUCGGAAUUACUGGGCGUAAAGCGUGCGCAGGCGGUGCUGUAAGACAGGCGUGAAAUCCCCGGGCUUAACCUGGGAAUUGCGCUUGUGACUGCAGUGCUGGAGUGCGGCAGAGGGGGAUGGAAUUCCGCGUGUAGCAGUGAAAUGCGUAGAUAUGCGGAGGAACACCGAUGGCGAAGGCAAUCCCCUGGGCCUGCACUGACGCUCAUGCACGAAAGCGUGGGGAGCAAACAGGAUUAGAAACCCCAGUAGUCC